This 75-nucleotide transfer RNA is filed under the name Schistocerca americana (American grasshopper). Its description in RNAcentral is "tRNA-Ser". It matches the Rfam family "tRNA". Rfam says of the family: Transfer RNA (tRNA) molecules are approximately 80 nucleotides in length. The record is from RNAcentral. Lineage: Eukaryota; Metazoa; Arthropoda; Insecta; Orthoptera; Acrididae.
GCCGGAGUGGCCGAGCGGUUCAAGGCGCUGCAGUCUGGAAAGCUGCGGUCGCAGGUUCGAAUCCUGCCUCGGGCA